GAGGCCAGAACCGAUUCUUUACUGUCUCCUGCCUUCCCCAUUUAUGAGGAGAUUAAUUUUGCUAUGGAAGAAUUCGAGAAGGCUCUCUCUGAAGGAUCAGACUCCAUUGUGGACACCACUGAUCGGAAGUUGGAAUAUUACACAAGUGCCAGUGAAGACAAAAACAGUGUGAUAUCUGUUACAGAAGCAUCUACUGACAAAUAUCCAUUAAAUAACUAUGAGGACAUAGAAGAGCCUGAUAAGGACAAAGGGGCAUUACUUUCUGGAAGCC
Molecule: long non-coding RNA, 271 nt
Organism: Xenopus tropicalis (tropical clawed frog)
Lineage: Eukaryota; Metazoa; Chordata; Amphibia; Anura; Pipidae
Exons: 3
Source: RefSeq, a predicted model, not a curated record